This 332-nucleotide long non-coding RNA is filed under the name Elaeis guineensis (African oil palm). RNAcentral describes it as "long non-coding RNA (EGUI_LNC071316)". The record is from RNAcentral. Lineage: Eukaryota; Viridiplantae; Streptophyta; Magnoliopsida; Arecales; Arecaceae.
GGAUCGUGCAGCACCUGCCGCGGGGAUCGGAGCAGCAUCAUAGCUGUUGACACAGCCUGUCAGAGAGUAGUGGGAUCGUGCAGCACCUGUCGCAGGGGGAGGUGGAGCCGCACGGAAUCCGCUACAGGAAGUGGAACAGGAUCUUGGCAGUUAUUGUUAUCUGCCAAGGGACACGGAUCUGUUGAUCAAGGCUCUGCAGCGGUUGGAGUUCGGCCUUUGCAGGAGUCCGGGAGGAGUCCCCCCUUCGGUUGAGGUCGUGGGUGGGGUCCGGCUCCAGCAGCUGAUACUGAGGUCGGAGACUGAGGUCGGAGCUUGGCUCCCGUAGGAGUCCG